UACAGAGGUCUCAAGCGUUGUUCGGAUUCAUUGGGCGUAAAGGGUGCUUAGGUGGUUGGGUAAGUCAAAUGUGAAAUCCCGGAGCUCAACUCCGGAACUGCAUUCGAUACUGCCCGGCUCGAGGAUUGGAGAGGAGACUGGAAUUCACGGUGUAGCAGUGAAAUGCGUAGAGAUCGUGAGGAACACCCGUGGCGAAGGCGGGUCUCUGGACAAUUCCUGACGAUGAGGCACGAAAGUGUGGGGAUCAAACAGG
This 253-nucleotide ribosomal RNA is filed under the name uncultured bacterium. RNAcentral describes it as "partial 16S ribosomal RNA". It matches the Rfam family "Bacterial small subunit ribosomal RNA", at positions 524 to 776 of the family's 1533-position model. The record is from RNAcentral.